GAUGAACGCUGGCGGCGUGCCUAAUACAUGCAAGUCGAGCGAACGGACGAGAAGCUUGCUUCUCUGAUGUUAGCGGCGGACGGGUGAGUAACACGUGGAUAACCUACCUAUAAGACUGGGAUAACUUCGGGAAACCGUAGCUAAUACCGGAUAAUAUCUUGAACCGCAUGGUUCAAAAGUGAAAGACGGUCUUGCUGUCACUUAUAGAUGGAUCCGCGCUGCAUUAGCUAGUUGGUAAGGUAACGGCUUACCAAGGCAACGAUGCAUAGCCGACCUGAGAGGGUGAUCGGCCACACUGGAACUGAGACACGGUCCAGACUCCUACGGGAGGCGGCAGUAGGGAAUCUUCCGCAAUGGGCGAAAGCCUGACGGAGCAACGCCGCGUGAGUGAUGAAGGUCUUCGGAUCGUAAAACUCUGUUAUUAGGGAAGAACAUAUGUGUAAGUAACUGUGCACAUCUUGACGGUACCUAAUCAGAAAGCCACGGCUAACUACGUG
Molecule: ribosomal RNA, 497 nt
Filed under: uncultured bacterium
Lineage: Bacteria
Description: partial 16S ribosomal RNA
Rfam family: Bacterial small subunit ribosomal RNA
Source: RNAcentral